UGAAUUUAUCCCUUCAUUCUGCAGGCGUGAUGUGGCCUGCUGUUCAUCAGGUGUCAUGCUUGGCAUCAGGCAUCCAGCUGGGAGCAUGUUGCUGGCUCCUCCCCUGGUGGUGUGGUGAUUUCUCUCUGUCUCGCCUGUACCACAAGCUCCUGAGGUGUGAAGACGUGUCUGUUCAAUCAACUGAUCAAGUCAAGGGCAGCAGUGACAAGAUGUGCUGGGAAGCCUAUAGCCCUGUCUACAAGGUCUCUGCCUUCUCUUACGGAAUUCCUUUUUCUCCCCAUGCUUGAAGUCCAUAUUUCUACUACUACCUAACUUCUUUCUUGCAGCCAUUCCUGAAAUACUUUCAUUCACCAGGCAGAAAAUCGAGUCCACUAUUUUUCUCUACCAACUCUUUGGUUUCCCUAAGAUAAAAAGUCAGGGUCUUCUUCAAAUUCCUUCCUUCUCUAACCUUUCACAACCACUAAAACCCUGUGAGUCUCCCCUUACCUUAUCAUUGUGUCCAGCCCUUCUCUCCAUCCUCACUGUCCCAUUUCAGUUGCCUUUUCAUUUUCUGCCUGGACUCUGCCCACAGCAUCUUAACUGGUAGCACCAACUGAGGGCUAUCCCCACAAUCUUUUGUUUUCUACUUUAUGCCAGAGUUGUCUCUCUAAACUACAAAUCAUAUCAUUUCUUUCUCACCACCUCUCCCCUUGUUAAAAGUCUCCAAUGGCUUUUCCUCACCUUAACAAUAAGGUGCUGAGAUCCAAGCCACUUUCUUGCAGCAUGUAAGACUCUUCAUGAGCUGGCCUUGCUUUUUACUGAGCUUUCUAAACUCACACACAGCUCACUCCCUCAGCUCAAGAAUACUAAAGGUAACCAGUGUUGCCAUUAGGAAAACAUAAUUAUAAAAUGCAGAAAUCAUCUCACAUGUUAUGUACCAUGCUGCUUGGGGAACUUUAUCAAUCUUCAUCCAAAAGAAAAUGAUUCUGUUCCUUGUAGACAUGGAUAUUCCAAUUACUGUAAUAGAAUAAGGAAAUAAAUGAAUAUCAUAAAUUGCUUUGGGGCAUCUUUUGAAAACUUUCCUUCUUUUCCAAGGCACUCAGCUCUUAUACAGAAUGCUUCUAUGUUGUCUAGAACUGAAUCAAGGAAUUUGAAAACCAGAGAAAGUGCUAAAAUAAUCUAAUCCAAUUUCCUUAUUUCAUAAAUGAGAAAACUCAAGACCAGAACAUUGAAACAUUUGUCCAAGCUCAUAUAUCUACUAAAUGUCCUUUC
RNAcentral lists this long non-coding RNA (1251 nucleotides) under Marmota monax (woodchuck). The record is from RNAcentral. Lineage: Eukaryota; Metazoa; Chordata; Mammalia; Rodentia; Sciuridae.